Molecule: long non-coding RNA, 522 nt
Organism: Mesocricetus auratus (golden hamster)
Lineage: Eukaryota; Metazoa; Chordata; Mammalia; Rodentia; Cricetidae
Exons: 3
Source: RefSeq, a predicted model, not a curated record
GUCGUGUCAGAGUCUCUUGGAGGAUUUGUUGGACACAGAUCCUGGGGCCCAGCCCUGGCUUCUGGUUGGACAGGUUCAGAGCCCUGGUUUGGAAGGACAACAAAGGAAACGUUUGGUACUGUUUCAUGGUUAGCCCACUUCAAAGAGAAUGAUUCCCUGUCAUUCAAGACUGGGAUAGAAGGCAAAUGACCUGCUGCUUGGCUGAAGGCUGGGAUGGCUGUGUGGGACAGAGCAGGAGAUGGCUGCCUCUUGCAGGCCAGCUCAGGCUCAGGCAGUGUCCCUCCUUGGCUUACGGGGGGCGAAAGAGAAUGACUAACACUGACUUUGCCCUACUGGGGACUCCGGCUCAUGGAAAAGUCCCUUUGGCCUCCUUCUGUGACACUGCUGGAGAGCCGGGUGGCGGGGGCAACACCUCCCCGCGCAUACACCAGAAAUAAGGUCGUCUCCAAGCUCUUCUCCAUGGAUGCGAGUCACCAAAAAAAAAAAAAAAAAAGAGCUUCUGUUGCCAGGGAAUGCAUCUUG